GCAAGGUAGAUUCGCGGGUCGACCGCGCCG
RNAcentral lists this small RNA (30 nucleotides) under Bombyx mori (domestic silkworm). Its description in RNAcentral is "ovarian small RNA-16259". The record is from RNAcentral. Lineage: Eukaryota; Metazoa; Arthropoda; Insecta; Lepidoptera; Bombycidae.